GCCAAGUUAGUAAGGGCGCACGGUGGAUGCCUUGGCACCAGGAGCCGAUGAAGGACGUGGGAGGCUGCGAUAUGCCUCGGGGAGCUGUCAACCGAGCUGUGAUCCGAGGAUUUCCGAAUGGGGAAACCCGGCAGGGCUUUAAAUCCUGUCACCCAUGCCUGAACACAUAGGGCAUGUGGAGGGAACGCGGGGAAGUGAAACAUCUCAUUACCCGCAGGAAGAGAAAACAACCGUGAUUCCGCGAGUAGUGGUGAGCGAAAGCGGAUGAGGCUAAACCAGUGUCGUGUGAUAGCCGGCAGGCGUUGCGAUGGUGGGGUUGUGGGAUCGUCCGGACGGGACUGCCGUUCCGUCGGGGAGUCAGAAAGAGCGCUGUUAGGCGAAGGUCAUGCGAAUGGGCCGCCAUAGAGGGUAAUAGCCCUGUAGCUGAAAACAGUGUUCCUCCCGGACGUGUUCCCAAGUAGCACGGAGCCCGUGAAAUUCCGUGUGAAUCUGGCGGGACCACCCGCUAAGCCUAAAUACUCCCUGGUGACCGAUAGCGGACUAGUACCGUGAGGGAAAGGUGAAAAGUACCCCGGGAGGGGAGUGAAAUAGUACCUGAAACCGUGUGCCUACAAUCCGUGGGAGCUGGACUUCGGUCUGGUGACCGCGUGCCUUUUGAAGAAUGAGCCUGCGAGUUUGCGAUGUGUGGCGAGGUUAACCCGUGUGGGGUAGCCGUAGCGAAAGCGAGUCCGAAUAGGGCGUUUGAGUCGCAUGUCCAAGACCCGAAGCCGAGUGAUCUAUCCAUGGCCAGGUUGAAGCGCGGGUAAGACCGUGUGGAGGACCGAACCCACCAGGGUUGAAAACCUGGGGGAUGAGCUGUGGAUAGGGGUGAAAGGCCAAUCAAACUCGGUGAUAGCUGGUUCUCCCCGAAAUGCAUUUAGGUGCAGCGUCGCAUGUUUCUUGCCGGAGGUAGAGCACUGGAUGGCCUAGGGGGCCCACAAGCUUACUGAAGUCAGCCAAACUCCGAAUGCCGGUAAGUGAAGUGCGGCAGUGAGACUGCGGGGGAUAAGCUUCGUAGUCGAGAGGGAAACAGCCCAGAUCGCCAGCUAAGGCCCCUAAGCGUGCGCUAAGUGGAAAAGGAUGUGGAGUCGCACAGACAACCAGGAGGUUGGCUUAGAAGCAGCCAUCCUUGAAAGAGUGCGUAAUAGCUCACUGGUCAAGUGAUUCCGCGCCGACAAUGUAGCGGGGCUCAAGCGCACCGCCGAAGCUGCGGCAUACGCAUGUUAGCCAGGCAUCUUUGCGGGUGUCCAGGUGUGUGUAUGGGUAGGGGAGCGUCGUGUGGCGUGUGAAGCGGCGGGGUGACCUAGUCGUGGAUGCCAUACGAGUGAGAAUGCAGGCAUGAGUAGCGAAUGACGGGUGAGAAACCCGUCCGCCGAAUGACCAAGGGUUCCUGGGGCAGGCUAAUCCGCCCAGGGUGAGUCGGGACCUAAGGCGAGGCCGACAGGCGUAGUCGAUGGACAACGGGUUGAUAUUCCCGUACCGGCGCUGACGCGCCCA
RNAcentral lists this ribosomal RNA (1536 nucleotides) under uncultured Frankia sp. RNAcentral's name for it is "bacterial LSU rRNA". It matches the Rfam family "Bacterial large subunit ribosomal RNA", at positions 1 to 1461 of the family's 2925-position model. The record is from RNAcentral. Lineage: Bacteria; Bacillati; Actinomycetota; Actinomycetes; Frankiales; Frankiaceae.